RNAcentral lists this ribosomal RNA (468 nucleotides) under uncultured bacterium. RNAcentral describes it as "partial 16S ribosomal RNA". It matches the Rfam family "Bacterial small subunit ribosomal RNA", at positions 28 to 507 of the family's 1533-position model. The record is from RNAcentral.
GACGAACGCUGGCGGCGUGCUUAACACAUGCAAGUCGAACGGGAAGGCCCUGCUUUUGUGGGGUGCUCGAGUGGCGAACGGGUGAGUAACACGUGAGUAACCUGCCCUUGACUUUGGGAUAACUUCAGGAAACUGGGGCUAAUACCGGAUAGGAGCUCCUGCUGCAUGGUGGGGGUUGGAAAGUUUCGGCGGUUGGGGAUGGACUCGCGGCUUAUCAGCUUGUUGGUGGGGUAGUGGCUUACCAAGGCUUUGACGGGUAGCCGGCCUGCGAGGGUGACCGGCCACAUUGGGACUGAGAUACGGCCCAGACUCCUACGGGAGGCAGCAGUGGGGAAUAUUGCACAAUGGGCGGAAGCCUGAUGCAGCAACGCCGCGUGCGGGAUGAAGGCCUUCGGGUUGUAAACCGCUUUCGCCUGUGACGAAGCGUGAGUGACGGUAAUGGGUAAAGAAGCACCGGCUAACUACGUG